Long non-coding RNA from Neoarius graeffei (lesser salmon catfish), 298 nucleotides. RefSeq lists it as uncharacterized. The record is from RefSeq and is a predicted model, not a curated record. NCBI's taxonomy places the organism in Eukaryota, Metazoa, Chordata, Actinopteri, Siluriformes, Ariidae. The transcript is spliced from 3 exons.
UUAGCUUCCUGGGUCAUAUGAUUUAGAAUAUGCCGUUAUCACAGACACUAAUGUGUGUAUGUUUCUGUUCAGUCUGCAUUCACAGGACGGUCAGGUGUUCAUUACCCGCCCUGUUUUAAUAAUUAGCAUGGGGUAGAUGUGGUGAAGAAGGUCCUGAGGACGGUUAGUGCUACAGGAAAGGAUCCAGAGGACAGCAGGAGAUGGAGGGACAUGAUCCACUGUGGCGACCCCUAACGGGGAGAAGAAGAAGUAGUUAGCAGUUGUGGUCCAGCCCAGAAAGUAUAGUUGAGGAGGUGAG